AAGAGAGCAUGCUGUCCUUUACCUGGAAUACUUUCUUUCUUCAUAGCAAGCUGUUGCUUCAGGGCUUCCUGAGGCAGAGUUUGUAUCUGGGUCAGUGUGUUCAAUAACCACCGGUAGACUGAUCCUUUCUCAGCUUGUCAAGAUUUUCUUACUCUGGAUCGUCUUCUUUGGAAAUGAACAAAUGUGUGACUUCUGGUUAUGUUUAUAGGAGAGAUGCUUCUAUUCCUACAGGAAUCCUAAAACAUUCAAGCAUUUUCAAGCUGCAGGAUGAAUGUGGUGUGCAAACACCGUAGCUGCUGUGGCCAGCCUCUCUGGAAGAAUUAAGAGUGUAUUCCUGCUGUUCAAACUGCUAAACCAAGAAGCUGCAAAUGAGAUUACAUGCUGACCGAGUCAUGCUGGAACAGGUACAACAGGAGAACCAGUGCCUGAAUCAGCAAGUUGCCCAUUUAUGGCUGCGUUUAUGGCACUGCAGAAAAUAAGAUAUACCUAGAAGAAUUCAGAAGGAAGUUUGAAAACUACAGCAAGGU
Molecule: long non-coding RNA, 527 nt
Organism: Coturnix japonica (Japanese quail)
Lineage: Eukaryota; Metazoa; Chordata; Aves; Galliformes; Phasianidae
Source: RefSeq, a predicted model, not a curated record